Long non-coding RNA from Homo sapiens (human), 221 nucleotides. RefSeq lists it as uncharacterized. The record is from RefSeq and is a predicted model, not a curated record. The transcript has 3 exons. NCBI's taxonomy places the organism in Eukaryota, Metazoa, Chordata, Mammalia, Primates, Hominidae.
CAAGGAGAUCUGAUUCUGGCCUGGAUUCAGCUACCACUUCUCUGGGUGGCAAGGGAUAUAAAAUAUGUUUUUGGAUUAGAAUCAAGACAGAGACAUGAUGGAGUAGAUUGCAAAUGUCACAUGAACUUUAAAGGCUGGGAAGGAGGAUAAUCUGUGCUGCCCAGAGCAGCAGGCUCUGAGGGAUGCUGCGUUCUAAAAGAUGCUGACAGGUGCUUCCCAAA